GACAGAGGGUGCAAGCGUUGUUCGGAAUUACUGGGCGUAAAGCGUGCGCAGGCGGUUGUGUAAGACAGGUGUGAAAUCCCCGGGCUUAACCUGGGAAUGGCAUUUGUGACUGCACGGCUAGAGUGUGUCAGAGGGGGGUAGAAUUCCACGUGUAGCAGUGAAAUGCGUAGAGAUGUGGAGGAAUACCGAUGGCGAAGGCAGCCCCCUGGGAUAACACUGACGCUCAUGCACGAAAGCGUGGGGAGCAAACAGG
RNAcentral lists this ribosomal RNA (253 nucleotides) under uncultured prokaryote. RNAcentral describes it as "partial 16S ribosomal RNA". It matches the Rfam family "Bacterial small subunit ribosomal RNA", at positions 524 to 776 of the family's 1533-position model. The record is from RNAcentral.